GCAGGUGGCGGUAGGGAGCUCCGUGCCUCCUGCAGCCACUAACGAAGAAGAAGCAGCAGCAGCAGCACCAUAAACAAACCGAGCUAGCCGGAGCUGCUGCGGCUGUUUUAAAAGCUGAAAAGUCGCUGUCAAAUAAAAACCGUGAUGACGGUCAGCAGCCGGACUCUGGACAGAAUCUACUCCGCUCUGCUCGUGGCGGUGGUGGUCCUGUCCUGGUCCUAUGUGAUCUACAGCAGCAGGAUCGCAGCUCAGUGGCUGCUGGAGAAGAGGACCGCCCCCUCGCUGCGUGACUGACAGCUGCUCUGACCAGUGAAACAACAGUGUUGGAGUCGGCUCUUUUCUGUUCUUAGGAUGAUGCAGAUGAGAUGAUGCUGGUGGGAUCCAGACCGAACAGAAAAUGGACAUGGAAACACAAAGGAACUCAAACGUGUUGCGACGGGCUGGACCCAUCGUUUCCAUCAAACUCUGCAGCGUUUUCUCCGUUAGAUCGAUUCGUCAGGAGUGAAACCUGCCCCAGGAUUUUUGGGCGUCACGUGCCGUCACUCAUCCAGUCACCCGAGGAUUUUUGACACGUCGACGCCCUCACAUGGCAGAGAAAAGAAACUGGACUUUCUCGACUUGGUUACCCAUAAAUCCUGCAAGAUGAUGACGGCCAAAAAUGGUGAAUACAAACAAGGAUUAUGGACUGUUUGGCGUCUGUCAGAUGGAAAUCGGACAGCAGACCGAAGCAGACAGCCAUCACGUCCACGGCAGCUGGCGUUGACGGGAAAAUGUGAGAAACGUUGUGUGCUACCGUCUUUAAAGUAGUGAAGUUACUGAGGGAAAGACUGUGUGGGAAUCCUGGAGGACUUUUCUCAAAUGAUAUCAACUCAAAAAAUGCUGUAACAACUUAAGAGACAUAAACAGGCCUGAGAAUGGCUUCAUAUGCUCCCAUUAUAAUGUAAUACCCUUUAUACACUUUAAAAAUCUGAAUACGCGGCUAAAAGAAUUCAGUUUUCUGAUGAGAAUAAUCUGACACGCAGAGCUGAGCUGCAGUUCAAAUGAACCUUCAGUUUCCCAGCUUUGGCUUCUGCUGUUGACCUCUGACCUCUGGCAUUUCUUCCUGAGAAACCUUUCAUGUUUCACUCUUACAUCUGGCAGCCAAGAUUGAUUUAGUCUUUUAUCUGAACUUUGGUUUAGUCCUGUUUUAGUCAUUUGAAUUUUGUCAGUUUUUAGUCGCCGAAUCUACAACGGUAUUUAAUAACUAACUUGUAGUCUAAUUCUGCUGAAUCAUUUUCCACCUUAUUUUCUCUGUAAAUUACUCAUUAUUUUAUUUGUUAGUUUACACAUACAAACUGAUAAGUUUUCAUUUGUCUGUUUCUGGCAUUUUCUUCAUUUUUAUUUAAUUUGUUUACGGACGUUGUUCUUAAUUUCUGUCACAGUUAGAUUAUAGUGAUAGUGUAUACGCUAAACUGGUUUUUGGGUCUGUGUGUGACCGGUAUGAUCUGAAACCAUGGUAACAGGAUGAACACAUGACUUGAAACCUGUAAGUCUUUUCUGAGUUGUGUAAUCUUAAUGCAUUCCACUGUUAUCUUGUCGCUUGUACAAACGACAUCGCUGCUGUCGGUUCAGAUGUUUUUCACAGUGUUUUGAUGGUUAUCGCUGGUCACGCUGUGCUGUGACGCGGCCUUGUUCCUUUCCUGCUCUUAUCUCUCUUCUGUUUUUUAUUCAGCGUGUCAUUAUAUCAUUUUGCUGAUGCUGCAGUGAUCAAUAAAGUUUCGUCUCUCUCUAAUCCACUGAAAAAGUCUUGAAACCUAAUAAGAUCUCUUGCAUCCAG
Molecule: long non-coding RNA, 1816 nt
Organism: Myripristis murdjan (pinecone soldierfish)
Lineage: Eukaryota; Metazoa; Chordata; Actinopteri; Holocentriformes; Holocentridae
Exons: 3
Source: RefSeq, a predicted model, not a curated record